RNAcentral lists this ribosomal RNA (2930 nucleotides) under Escherichia coli. RNAcentral's name for it is "23S ribosomal RNA". It matches the Rfam family "Bacterial large subunit ribosomal RNA". The record is from RNAcentral. Lineage: Bacteria; Pseudomonadati; Pseudomonadota; Gammaproteobacteria; Enterobacterales; Enterobacteriaceae.
GGGUUGUGAGGUUAAGCGACUAAGCGUACACGGUGGAUGCCCUGGCAGUCAGAGGCGAUGAAGGACGUGCUAAUCUGCGAUAAGCGUCGGUGAGGUGAUAUGAACCGUUAUAACCGGCGAUUUCCGAAUGGGGAAACCCAGUGUGUUUCGACACACUAUCAUUAACUGAAUCCAUAGGUUAAUGAGGCGAACCGGGGGAACUGAAACAUCUAAGUACCCCGAGGAAAAGAAAUCAACCGAGAUUCCCCCAGUAGCGGCGAGCGAACGGGGAGCAGCCCAGAGCCUGAAUCAGUGUGUGUGUUAGUGGAAGCGUCUGGAAAGGCGCGCGAUACAGGGUGACAGCCCCGUACACAAAAAUGCACAUGCUGUGAGCUCGAUGAGUAGGGCGGGACACGUGGUAUCCUGUCUGAAUAUGGGGGGACCAUCCUCCAAGGCUAAAUACUCCUGACUGACCGAUAGUGAACCAGUACCGUGAGGGAAAGGCGAAAAGAACCCCGGCGAGGGGAGUGAAAAAGAACCUGAAACCGUGUACGUACAAGCAGUGGGAGCCUCUUAAUGGGGUGACUGCGUACCUUUUGUAUAAUGGGUCAGCGACUUAUAUUCUGUAGCAAGGUUAACCGAAUAGGGGAGCCGAAGGGAAACCGAGUCUUAACUGGGCGUUAAGUUGCAGGGUAUAGACCCGAAACCCGGUGAUCUAGCCAUGGGCAGGUUGAAGGUUGGGUAACACUAACUGGAGGACCGAACCGACUAAUGUUGAAAAAUUAGCGGAUGACUUGUGGCUGGGGGUGAAAGGCCAAUCAAACCGGGAGAUAGCUGGUUCUCCCCGAAAGCUAUUUAGGUAGCGCCUCGUGAAUUCAUCUCCGGGGGUAGAGCACUGUUUCGGCAAGGGGGUCAUCCCGACUUACCAACCCGAUGCAAACUGCGAAUACCGGAGAAUGUUAUCACGGGAGACACACGGCGGGUGCUAACGUCCGUCGUGAAGAGGGAAACAACCCAGACCGCCAGCUAAGGUCCCAAAGUCAUGGUUAAGUGGGAAACGAUGUGGGAAGGCCCAGACAGCCAGGAUGUUGGCUUAGAAGCAGCCAUCAUUUAAAGAAAGCGUAAUAGCUCACUGGUCGAGUCGGCCUGCGCGGAAGAUGUAACGGGGCUAAACCAUGCACCGAAGCUGCGGCAGCGACACUAUGUGUUGUUGGGUAGGGGAGCGUUCUGUAAGCCUGUGAAGGUGUACUGUGAGGUAUGCUGGAGGUAUCAGAAGUGCGAAUGCUGACAUAAGUAACGAUAAAGCGGGUGAAAAGCCCGCUCGCCGGAAGACCAAGGGUUCCUGUCCAACGUUAAUCGGGGCAGGGUGAGUCGACCCCUAAGGCGAGGCCGAAAGGCGUAGUCGAUGGGAAACAGGUUAAUAUUCCUGUACUUGGUGUUACUGCGAAGGGGGGACGGAGAAGGCUAUGUUGGCCGGGCGACGGUUGUCCCGGUUUAAGCGUGUAGGCUGGUUUUCCAGGCAAAUCCGGAAAAUCAAGGCUGAGGCGUGAUGACGAGGCACUACGGUGCUGAAGCAACAAAUGCCCUGCUUCCAGGAAAAGCCUCUAAGCAUCAGGUAACAUCAAAUCGUACCCCAAACCGACACAGGUGGUCAGGUAGAGAAUACCAAGGCGCUUGAGAGAACUCGGGUGAAGGAACUAGGCAAAAUGGUGCCGUAACUUCGGGAGAAGGCACGCUGAUAUGUAGGUGAAGCGACUUGCUCGUGGAGCUGAAAUCAGUCGAAGAUACCAGCUGGCUGCAACUGUUUAUUAAAAACACAGCACUGUGCAAACACGAAAGUGGACGUAUACGGUGUGACGCCUGCCCGGUGCCGGAAGGUUAAUUGAUGGGGUUAGCGGUAACGCGAAGCUCUUGAUCGAAGCCCCGGUAAACGGCGGCCGUAACUAUAACGGUCCUAAGGUAGCGAAAUUCCUUGUCGGGUAAGUUCCGACCUGCACGAAUGGCGUAAUGAUGGCCAGGCUGUCUCCACCCGAGACUCAGUGAAAUUGAACUCGCUGUGAAGAUGCAGUGUACCCGCGGCAAGACGGAAAGACCCCGUGAACCUUUACUAUAGCUUGACACUGAACAUUGAGCCUUGAUGUGUAGGAUAGGUGGGAGGCUUUGAAGUGUGGACGCCAGUCUGCAUGGAGCCGGCCUUGAAAUACCACCCUUUAAUGUUUGAUGUUCUAACGUUGGCCCCUGAUCGGGGUUGCGGACAGUGUCUGGUGGGUAGUUUGACUGGGGCGGUCUCCUCCUAAAGAGUAACGGAGGAGCACGAAGGUUGGCUAAUCCUGGUCGGACAUCAGGAGGUUAGUGCAAUGGCAUAAGCCAGCUUGACUGCGAGCGUGACGGCGCGAGCAGGUGCGAAAGCAGGUCAUAGUGAUCCGGUGGUUCUGAAUGGAAGGGCCAUCGCUCAACGGAUAAAAGGUACUCCGGGGAUAACAGGCUGAUACCGCCCAAGAGUUCAUAUCGACGGCGGUGUUUGGCACCUCGAUGUCGGCUCAUCACAUCCUGGGGCUGAAGUAGGUCCCAAGGGUAUGGCUGUUCGCCAUUUAAAGUGGUACGCGAGCUGGGUUUAGAACGUCGUGAGACAGUUCGGUCCCUAUCUGCCGUGGGCGCUGGAGAACUGAGGGGGGCUGCUCCUAGUACGAGAGGACCGGAGUGGACGCAUCACUGGUGUUCGGGUUGUCAUGCCAAUGGCACUGCCCGGUAGCUAAAUGCGGAAGAGAUAAGUGCUGAAAGCAUCUAAGCACGAAACUUGCCCCGAGAUGAGUUCUCCCUGACUCCUUGAGAGUCCUGAAGGAACGUUGAAGACGACGACGUUGAUAGGCCGGGUGUGUAAGCGCAGCGAUGCGUUGAGCUAACCGGUACUAAUGAACCGUGAGGCUUAACCUUACAACGCCGAAGCUGUU